UGCAAGCAGAUCCUCAAAGGAAACAUUCAAUGUAAGUUCAAAGAGUCACUGUGUAAUCAAUCUUGAGAAAAAAAUGAAGGGAAGCAAGAACAAAAGGAAGCCUAAUAACUUUUCAAGACAGCUACUUUCAUCAACUAAACACGAGUUGUAAUUCUGCCAAUUAAUGAUAUGAAACUACUUUGAAUGACAUGUGGAUGCCUGGAACUGCAGAGCCAAACCCAAGCUUGUUCAAAACCUUGGAAUGUCCCAGCAGCAUCCCACUUCUUUGGACAGACAUCAGCUGCAGUCUAGUAUGUGAGCUUCUAGACACAGUUGGAUCACCAGUUAGGUUUACCAAGUGGACUUGGCAUCUGGUGUCCCAGAGUGGAAGAAGCUGAGAUGUAAAGGAUUAAGGUGUGAAAGUAGAGGUAAAAGUUGGAAAGCACCAGAAGAAAAUUAAGUCUAUGAACCACAGAGGUGAGAUGGAGUUUUACUGAGACCAUCUUUCCAAAAUGUAUGUAAAUUAACUGCAAAUAGAAAAGUUAACGCUAGAAUUAAAUCAUGAGAGUAGUGAUAGAGACAUGGAAAAUGGGGCCAAAAUGGCAGAAAGAGUUGUCUUAAUCCACCUUCCUGUGCCAAACCUGCAUAAAUGAGAGAGAUAUGAUUAUGGACUGGUGUCUGCUUUAUUAUUUUAAGGUAUUUAAUCUAAAGCAGAGAAUUUCACCAUUUCCCCAUGUAUUCUUGCCUAGUUUCUAUUGUCAAAAACUUUUUGCUAAUAUCUAAUAUAACUCUUCUAUUAUGUAAUUUUAGCACAUUCAUUUCUCUUGAUAUCCACAACAGAUACAGAGAACAGAUGACAACCUGUGAUUAUUUGAAAGCUUCUCUCAUCUCUCCAGU
This 876-nucleotide long non-coding RNA is filed under the name Taeniopygia guttata (zebra finch). RNAcentral describes it as "lncRNA (ENSTGUG00000024362.1)". Lineage: Eukaryota; Metazoa; Chordata; Aves; Passeriformes; Estrildidae. The record is from RNAcentral.